This 253-nucleotide ribosomal RNA is filed under the name uncultured bacterium. RNAcentral describes it as "partial 16S ribosomal RNA". It matches the Rfam family "Bacterial small subunit ribosomal RNA", at positions 524 to 776 of the family's 1533-position model. The record is from RNAcentral.
UACGUAGGCAGCAAACGUUGUUCGGAAUUACUGGGCGUAAAGAGUGUGUAGGCGGUUCUGUAAGUUUGGUGUGAAAUCUCCCGGCUUAACUGGGAGGGUGCGCCGAAAACUGCAAGGCUUGAGUGCUGGAGAGGAUAGCGGAAUUCCUGGUGUAGCGGUGAAAUGCGUAGAUAUCUGGAGGAACACCGGUGGCGAAGGCGGCAUCCUGGACCGACACUGACACUGAGGAGCGAAAGCCCGGGGAGCAAACGGG